AUGGGGCUCUCUUCGAGCAUCUCCAUGUUCUUUUUUUACCGCAGUUAUGUUGCAGUCAAAGAUACUGAGAACAUGGACUGGAUGACCCAACUUCAAAUGGCGAUGGGGAUAGCUUACUGUCGAGAGAACAUGCUUAAGCUGAAUCUACCUGCUAGGCCAAGGAACCUCAUCUCAACAGUUAUGUUGCAACGGUGUCAGAUCUUGAUGUCUGGAAUGGCACCAAGGGAUCUGAUUCUGUCACUGAUGAUUGCAUCAUGCUAUAUUUCAUUGUGCAUCAGGAUGGCAUCAUGCUUAAGUUGA
This 300-nucleotide ribosomal RNA is filed under the name Triticum aestivum (bread wheat). RNAcentral's name for it is "partial small subunit ribosomal RNA". Lineage: Eukaryota; Viridiplantae; Streptophyta; Magnoliopsida; Poales; Poaceae. The record is from RNAcentral.